CACUGGGACUGAGACACGGCCCAGACUCCUACGGGAGGCAGCAGUGGGGAAUCUUAGACAAUGGGCGAAAGCCUGAUCUAGCCAUGCCGCGUGAGUGACGAAGGCCUUAGGGUCGUAAAGCUCUUUCGCCAGAGAUGAUAAUGACAGUAUCUGGUAAAGAAACCCCGGCUAACUUCGUGCCAGCAGCCGCGGUAAU
This 196-nucleotide ribosomal RNA is filed under the name uncultured bacterium. RNAcentral's name for it is "partial 16S ribosomal RNA". It matches the Rfam family "Bacterial small subunit ribosomal RNA", at positions 311 to 524 of the family's 1533-position model. The record is from RNAcentral.